Fimbriiglobus ruber is the source of this 46-nucleotide small RNA. It matches the Rfam family "Acido-Lenti-1 RNA". The record is from Rfam. NCBI's taxonomy places the organism in Bacteria, Pseudomonadati, Planctomycetota, Planctomycetia, Gemmatales, Gemmataceae.
CCCAGGGUUCACACCCUGGGCUAUUCUCUUCCGCCCCGUUGGGGCU